AGAUCGGGGAUUGACAAUGCGGGAUGAAAGGUUUCUCCAGGGGAAGUGGAGCCCCGCAGCGCAUCCAGUAGAAACAGAUGUGGAGGAGAAGGAGGGGUUGGAGCAGAUCCAGAGCUGGAUCCUCCUCCUGGACUAUAAGUUCUGCAGUGCGGAUCAUCAGCAGGAGCUCCAGGUCCGGUUUACACUGUGAUGUUUCUCUACAGACUGCUUUAUUCUGCUGAUCGAUGAGCGGAUCUGAAUCAGGUCCUCCUGUAGUGAAGGGGAAGCUCCAUGGUGCUGCUGUUCUGCCCUGUACUGGGAGAUGUUCUGGAGUGGUCAGCUGGACGGUGCUCCAUAAACACUCUGAUAUUCUGGCUGAGUGUGAUCAGACUUCCUGCAGAUCAGUGAAGGAGGGAUAUCAGAUGAUCUAUAAUCAAUACCUGCAGGGAGAUUUCUCUCUGAUCAUCAGUGAAGCUGAUUACAGUAAGAGAGGACUGUACACCUGUGACUGUGAUGAUACAGAUCUCUGUGAAGUUCAGCUUCAGAUUGAAGGUAAGUGUUUGAUCCAGUGACAGAAUCUCCAGUGAUGCAGAUUCAGUGAUUUACUCUCAGUUUACUCUUUUUGUUUCUGGUU
RNAcentral lists this long non-coding RNA (613 nucleotides) under Astyanax mexicanus (Mexican tetra). RNAcentral describes it as "lncRNA (ENSAMXG00005009201.1)". The record is from RNAcentral. Lineage: Eukaryota; Metazoa; Chordata; Actinopteri; Characiformes; Acestrorhamphidae.